AGCUGAUCGGAGUCUUCCUCUGCUGCUCCGAGUCCCACUCAGGCUGUGCGCUCGGACAUCUUUCUGCGGAUACUUUUCCACCCGAGGCGCGCACUCCUCCGCGUGUCUGCGUGCACCGCACAUGGAUUUCAAGCUUUGUGGGUCUUAGAUGAGAGGAAAAGUUUGAGUGGAAGGACAGAAGGAGAGAGCAGAAGACUGAGGAGAAGGUCGGCUCUCGACCAUGGAGACUUCACCACAGAGAGCCACAGAUAAAAAAGACAAAAUGGACGGUAGCGGAUUCACCGACCUCCCAAAGAAACCCUCACCCUCAGAGACCAGAGUCUUAAACUGCAUUGGGGCUUUUAUUUGUCUUCCACGGUUGCUUACAGUGGUGUAGAAUUAAAAAGACCUCGUCCCCUGACCGUGCUGUUUUGGUGACCCAGAUUUAGCUGCUCUUUGUCUCACCCCCAUCCUCCCCUGUCCUCCUCCUGCCCCCCCUCGCUGACCCCCUCUUACAAUUCACCCUCCGACUGUUAUGAAUGGGGCAUUAACUCGAGCUGCUCUUUCAAUCAAUGGGGCCCUUUAGUGCUCUCUCGCAUGCACACCGAGCUGCUGUACUCGUGCAGUCAGUCAGAGGGUAAUUAUACCGGAGCGAGCC
Long non-coding RNA from Astatotilapia calliptera (eastern happy), 637 nucleotides. NCBI's taxonomy places the organism in Eukaryota, Metazoa, Chordata, Actinopteri, Cichliformes, Cichlidae. The record is from Ensembl.